Non-coding RNA from Acanthosepion pharaonis, 90 nucleotides. Lineage: Eukaryota; Metazoa; Mollusca; Cephalopoda; Sepiida; Sepiidae. The record is from the annotation of a GenBank genome assembly.
CACGUUCCCGUACGGUCACCGAAGUUAAGCAAUGUCGAGUCUGGACAGUACUUAGACGAGGUACCGCUUGGGAAAACUAGGUGCUGUAAG